AAUUAGUGAUUUAAUAUUUUUAAAAUUUUACUCUUCUGUUUUCCAUAAAAGAAUAGUGGUGUCUGGAAUAUGCUACAUUUGAUAGUUUAGCAUGAAAAAUGUGAUUCAUGAAAAGAUAUCAUGCUGUAAAUGAAUUCUGUAUGUUCUACAUAAGAAAUAUAUUGUUAAUUGUGAAUAAUAACAUGAUCUGAAGUCAGUUCGUAGCAUGUUUUACGGGAGAAAUACAUUCAGUAUAAAAGCGAUUAAAAAUUUGUUUUUGAAGAAUUAUGCUACAAAUUAAGUGCUUUUUCAAAUAUCUGUGGAGAAUGUAAUUUUAGUGUGAAGUAUAUCAUUUUUCAUUGAUCAUGUUUUCUUAAUUUUUUGUAGUCAUGUAUAAUUAAGGAGUACUGAUUAAUCAUAUUCUAAUAAAGGUUUAAUCAAGUACAUCAGAGGAAACAGUUUCCUAUUUUAAUAAAUUGAAGUAAAUUAUAGCUGAAGGAUAAAAUUUUGAGCUGUGCCUCUCAGAUUAUUGGUUUUAGCGACAUUUCAGACUUGCGUUUAAAAUAAUUUUUUGGAUAUAUGUAAGUGUGUUAAGGAACUGUUUUAAAAAAUACCUUAAUUAUAUAUGCUUUCAUUUAUAUUUUUCUUGUGAGAGAAAAGGAAAAUUAUUUUCUACUAGAGUUGUUGUAGUUCUGAAGCCUGUUUUAUGUUUUCAAAUAUGAAAGGGUGUUCGACUGUUUUUGUAUUUGCUUUUGCAGUGUAAUCUACCUUUGGUUCUUUUAAUGAAAUUGUGCUGUUUUAAUUUCCUGAUUCUUGGUAUGUGCUUGUGAAUAUAUAUUCAAAGAAUUAUAAAGUUUUCAGUGCCAUUUAAUAUGCUGUCACAGUUGCAGUAGCUGUCAGAAUAUUAAAAUAGAAAGAUAUGUAAACAUUGCAUCAGGUUAAAUUAAAUAUCAGAAAAUAUGGAUAUUGUAAAUUAAAAUUAUUUUUCACUACAUCUUUGUGGAUAGUAUACUGCUGAAAUGCAUAUGCCAGGGUAAUAUUACAUCAAAAGUCAUGUAAAAUUUCUGAAUGAAUAGUAUAAAAGUGUAAACAGUGCAUCUAGUGUGUUUAGAGAAUUAUUGUUAAAGGAUUAUUUUCUACAAUGCAGAAAAGAAAAAAGGAACUAUUUCAUAUAAUGUAUUUUAUGAAUCUUGUUCUCUUAAAAAAAAUUUUUAUUGUAUUAGCAGUAAAGUACCAGAGUUUUUUAGCAUGUACUAUUAAAAAUUUACCGUGAACUUAUUUCAGAUUUUUAAAUUAUGAUAAUUUCAGCUGAAGGGAAUAAUAAAUUUAAUUGUGGGCCAUCUUAAUAUGUUAUCAAUUCCAGCAUGCCUUAUCUAUUGUUCCUGCUGGAGAAACUGACUUUUCAAAAAAUAUUAAAAUUUUUUCAUUCAUCUUGAAUGCUUUUGUAGUUUUGUUAUAGCUAAUGCAUUCUAGUCUAAAAACAUUAAUUUUUAUUUUAAGUAUAAAGGGCAUAUUUUUAAUUAAAUUUUUAUUUAUCAUCUGUUUCUGAUUAUAUAUAUAUAUAUAUAUAUAUAUAUAUAUUUUUUUUUUUUUUUUUUUUUUUUAAGAAUAGUAAAUUUCAAAAUUAAUGUAAUUUUUCCCUUGUUCUGUUGUCACUUUAAGACGCAGUUAAAAUUUUUGUAAGUGCUAGUCAAGAUUCAAGGCAUUGUGAUAAAUACAAAUUAAAUGGGCGUUUUGUAUGUAUUUGUAUUUUUGUUAAGUUUCAGAAUUCCAUUAUAUGGCUAAUUAUGAAUGUAGCGUAUCACAAAGGGACAUGUGUCUUCUACAUAUAAAAUUUCCCAAAACAUAUUUGAGGACCAUUUCUAUCACUGAAGUUUUUUGUCUAUUCUUGCAUUAUCUACUUGUUAUUUAUGUCUCAUGACAAUUAACUCCUCUACACUGUGAUCAUCUGUAAAGAAUAUCUGAUGACUUCUCAUACUGGUGAUGGAUUCACUAUUUUCAUGGUCAUGACACUAGUUAUGACCUUUUCUGCCGUAUAUUGUGAUCUUUCUUUACUAAGGUGAAUGUUGUGAAUAAAUAAAUUCUUUCGUCAUCCUGAGUAGAUGCAAUAGUUUGCAAUUCUCAGUUAUUGAGAACUUUUGUUUGCUUUAUGUAUUUUGAAUUCAUAUUUAUAUUGUGAAGAAUAAAAUUGUGUGAAAGCACAUGAUCUUGCUAAUUGUUCAUAUACAUUGAUGUACCUUCUGUAAUGUUUUGCUGAUUUAAGACUGGUUAUAUUUUUUAAUAAAACCUGUUUUUUGAUUGUCUGAAUGUCAGCAUUAUAUGAGUAAAACAUGUUACAAAAAGUC
This is a long non-coding RNA of Stegodyphus dumicola, 2324 nucleotides long. The record is from RefSeq and is a predicted model, not a curated record. Lineage: Eukaryota; Metazoa; Arthropoda; Arachnida; Araneae; Eresidae.